GUACUUCCUUCCUGUGACCGUCUCCCUCCUUUUGUUUGUCAUAAUCAGUUUCAGUAGUGUCUCUAAUUAGUUCUCUGUAUAUAUAGUCCUGCAUCUUCUGUCUUUUGUCAGUUCGUCCUGUUGGCUUCCUUCGUGUUCCAUUUCCUGUUCACCUUCCUGAGUUCUUCAUCUUCCUCUGUUAGCGACAUGUCAUCACUGUCCUGUUGCUUCCCGCCGUGGUCUCUUCUAUAGAGACUCUCUGUCGGCUCUGUCCAGGAACCUGAGGGUCCCGGGGGGCCCCAAUCGGCCCCCAGGCCUACGGUUGCAGGGCCUCAGCCUGCACAACAAACGCCACUGCAGACUCACCAGACCUGAGCUCCCAGAAUCCAUUGCUCUGGCUCACUCCAAGCCGUCGAGCAGCAUGAAGCACCUGGUCCUGGGUCACCUGAGGAGGCUGGUGACUCUGAGCCCGGCCCAGCGGCUCCGAGGCCUCCAUCUGCCGGGCUGACCUCCUGCAGGGGCAGGUGGGCUGAGAGCUGCUGGACACCAGAGGGCGCCGCAGAGGUUCACACUGAGGCUGGAGGAUAAUAUCUCCACCCUGCAUCUCCAGGAAGAGCUGCUGAAUCACUGAGCUCCACUGAGAUCAGGUUCCACGUCCGGAGGCAGGAACUCAACUGUAGAAAGAUGUUUCACCGUGCUGAAUGUAUCUCUUGCUUGCUUUCUAUGGAUACAGUUUUUGAGCCAUGCUGCAUUUAUUUAUUUGAUUGAUCCAGUUUGCUUUGUUUUCAUCUCUCUGGAAACUGAGGUUUUAAAUUCAUUCACUAGUAGUUCUGUUAUUUGGUAUGCUACUUAACCUAGUCUUAUAAGAUUAAUAACUGGUGCACUGGCUGAAAAAGUGAAUUAACUGUGUCAGUGUGGGCUUAUAAAACAGUGACUGUUGAGUAUUUUGUUAAGAAAGUGGUUAUUUUGCUUUAAAUAUCAUUAAAGUAUUAGAUAUACUUCUGCUUUGGUGUUUCAGAGGUUGAUAAAUUCUUUGUAAAUUCAGUUUAAUAUCCAAAAUAAAUCCAAAUCUGUUUCAGCCUUAAUCCCUGUAUCUUUUUUUCAUAGAUGAUAUGAUGUUUAUGUUUCAC
Molecule: long non-coding RNA, 1109 nt
Organism: Amphiprion ocellaris (clown anemonefish)
Lineage: Eukaryota; Metazoa; Chordata; Actinopteri; Pomacentridae
Source: Ensembl